This 93-nucleotide transfer RNA is filed under the name Desulfovibrio sp. RNAcentral's name for it is "tRNA-Sec". It matches the Rfam family "Selenocysteine transfer RNA". Lineage: Bacteria; Pseudomonadati; Thermodesulfobacteriota; Desulfovibrionia; Desulfovibrionales; Desulfovibrionaceae. RNAcentral also lists the same sequence under 1 other name. The record is from RNAcentral.
GGAAGCGUUUCGUCACCGGUGUGGCGCGUGGGCUUCAAACCCAUUGUGAGACUCAUCCUCUCAGGCAGGUUCGACUCCUGUACGCUUCCGCCA